This 486-nucleotide ribosomal RNA is filed under the name uncultured bacterium. RNAcentral's name for it is "partial 16S ribosomal RNA". It matches the Rfam family "Bacterial small subunit ribosomal RNA", at positions 28 to 507 of the family's 1533-position model. The record is from RNAcentral.
GUUGAACGCUGGCGGCAUGCCUUACACAUGCAAGUCGAACGGCAGCACGGUUGCUUGCUCCUGGUGGCGAGUGGCGAACGGGUGCGUAAUACAUCAGCACAUGUCCUGUAGGGGGGUAUAGUCCGGCUAAAGCUGGGUUAAUACCGCUUACGAUCUAUGGAAUCAAGCGGGGGACCUUCGGUCCUCGCGCUGUUGUGUUGGCCGAGGGGGGGUUAGCUUGUUGGUGGGGUAUAGGCCUACCAAGGCGACGAUAAGUCGCUGGUCUGAGAGGACGACCAGCCACACGAGAUCUGAGACGCGACCCAGACUACUAUGGGAGGCAGCAGUGGGGAAUUUUGGACAAUGGGCGAAGGCCUGAUCCAGCAAUGCCACGUGUGUUGAAAAGGCCCGCGGGUUGUAAAGCACUUCUGUCCGUAUAGAAAUACUUGGCCCUAAUACGGUCGGUGGAUGACGGUACCGGAAGAAUAAGCACCGGCUAACUACGUG